UAGGACAUAGGAUCACAUGAUCCAGUGAGGAAAAGGUGGCGCAAGCUAUCGCUAAGAGAUGGACCCGCGGUGCAUUAGCUAGUUGGUAGGGUAAAGGCCUACCAAGGCGAUGAUGCAUAGCCGACCUGAGAGGGUGAUCGGCCACAUUGGGACUGAGACACGGCCCAAACUCCUACGGGAGGCAGCAGUAGGGAAUCUUCCGCAAUGGACGCAAGUCUGACGGAGCAACGCCGCGUGAGUGAAGAAGGUCUUCGGAUCGUAAAGCUCUGUUGUUAGAGAAGAACAGCGCAUAGAGUAACUGCUAUGCGUGUGACGUAUCUAACCAG
Molecule: ribosomal RNA, 326 nt
Filed under: Abiotrophia defectiva
Lineage: Bacteria; Bacillati; Bacillota; Bacilli; Lactobacillales; Aerococcaceae
Description: bacterial SSU rRNA
Rfam family: Bacterial small subunit ribosomal RNA
Source: RNAcentral